CAUAGUCCAAAGUUUCCCUCAUAA
RNAcentral lists this non-coding RNA (24 nucleotides) under Rattus norvegicus (Norway rat). Lineage: Eukaryota; Metazoa; Chordata; Mammalia; Rodentia; Muridae. The record is from RNAcentral.